AAGGUUUCCAGAGGAAGGCUCGUCCGCUCUGGGUUAGUCGGGUCCUAAGCUGAGGCCGACAGGCGUAGGCGAUGGAUAACAGGUUGAUAUUCCUGUACCACCUAACAUCGUUUUAAUCGAUGGGGGGGGACGCAGUAGGAUAGGCGAAGCGUGCUGUUGGAGUGCACGUCUAAGCAGUGAGAUUGAGUGUUAGGCAAAUCCGGCACUCUUAAGAUUGAGCUGUGAUGGGGAGAGGAAAUUGUUUCCUCGA
This is a ribosomal RNA of 250 nucleotides. It matches the Rfam family "Bacterial large subunit ribosomal RNA", at positions 1347 to 1588 of the family's 2925-position model.